AUUGAACGCUGGCGGCAUGCUUUACACAUGCAAGUCGAACGGUAACAGGCCGCAAGGUGCUGACGAGUGGCGAACGGGUGAGUAAUGCAUCGGAACGUGCCCAGUCGUGGGGGAUAACUACUCGAAAGAGUAGCUAAUACCGCAUACGAUCUAUGGAUGAAAGCGGGGGACCGUAAGGCCUCGCGCGAUUGGAGCGGCCGAUGUCAGAUUAGGUAGUUGGUGGGGUAAAGGCUCACCAAGCCAACGAUCUGUAGCUGUCUGAGAGGACGACCAGCCACACUGGGACUGAGACACGGCCCAGACUCCUACGGGAGGCAGCAGUGGGGAAUUUUGGACAAUGGGCGCAAGCCUGAUCCAGCAAUGCCGCGUGCAGGAAGAAGGCCUUCGGGUUGUAAACUGCUUUUGUACGGAACGAAACGGCUCUGGUUAAUACCCGGGGCUAAUGACGGUACCGUAAGAAUAAGCACCGGCUAACUACGUG
RNAcentral lists this ribosomal RNA (481 nucleotides) under uncultured bacterium. RNAcentral describes it as "partial 16S ribosomal RNA". It matches the Rfam family "Bacterial small subunit ribosomal RNA", at positions 30 to 507 of the family's 1533-position model. The record is from RNAcentral.